CAACUCAAAAGAGAUGCGGUAUAAAAGAGGAUUUGAAUGGAGACCUUGAAUCCUAGGCUGACAAGUCUGGACUUGAGUACAAAGAUAUAUUUUAACAUUUUCCUGAGCCACCGUUUGCCUAGGCUGCAUGACAUACCAAUUCUUAUGGAAGGACUCAGUGCUCACCAUCCUCGAAAACCUGAUUCAAAACCUAUCUUGCCAUUCUUGCGUGCUCCUAAAAGAAGAGAAAAAGGCCUCCAGUUAGAGGCCAUCAACAAAAAUGCUGAAUGGGUCAUCGUAUUUCCUAAAAGUCAAGAACAAAGAAGACCCAGACAAGGCUUCUGAGAACUAUGGAGACGUAUCCAGAUGCCACACUGAAAAUACAAUUCCACCACCCAUCCAUUAUUUGCUCAGGCAUAUAACAAGACAUCUCUUUUCACUGGUUUCUCUUCUGCCACCUGUUAAAUUAGAAAAACAACUAGUCUUAUAAAUGAAUAAAGGUGCUUAUUAUAGAUACAUACCACUUCCCAAGCAAAGAAAAUCAGGCCUUAGAAGAAAGUAUAAGGGAAGGUAGAUGUAUUAACUAUGUAGAUCAUGCUUAUUUGCCUCUUGAGAGAUGGCUUCUCUCCUCAAAUUCAAUGGAGCUGUAAUUUGAAAAAUCAGGCCUGUAGGCACUUUUAGGAUAUAAUGACAUUUGCACACAUGAUCACAUGCUUCAGGGAAAAAAAUGAAAUCAGGAGGACACACUGGUAAGCUGUGGGCUUAUUGUGGGCACCACAGCAUACAAAGUCACUAUAUGAAUUCCCAGAUUAGGACACAGUUUGAUGGUUUUCUUGGUUCUCUUAAGAGCUUGGUGGAAAUUAAGUCUGUUUUACAUAAGGUAACCUCAAGUCCCCUGGCUGCUAAAAUGAUAUAAUGGUUUGCUCUGAAAUUAGCUACUAAAGUAACACAAUUCUUGCUAUCUGAGUAUAAAAGCAGAAGGCAGAAAUUCAUUCUUACAGAGUAAGAACUCAUUUUUUGCCAUAGAGUAAAACAUUCCAACCCUCCAAAGUCAGUCUAGGGAUUUGGGUUUCAUUUUUUCCUUUAAAAAGACAUUUUUCCCCUGGAUAUUCGGAAGAAUGUAAACAAAAGCCACAGAAAACACAAGUUAGGGCACUGAAGUAUAGCGUAGCACUCUCUUAUGGGAAAAAUGCCAGUGUGCUGUGGCAGAAGGCAGAUGAACACUGUCUCUUCUCCCGCUCCCCACUUCAAACCAGAGUCUCAUGUAGUUUCCCUACCCAGAAAGGAAGAGAAAACAAAUAAUAGCCAUUGUGACAACAAAGACGUGAGAUUUCAUAAAAUAGAUUACUUUUGGUGGAACAAAUACCUGACACCUUUCAACCUCAAAUAGUACAGUCUGAGACGCCACAGUCCAGGUUUCAAUCUUAACGCUAUGAAAUUCUGGAGUUAGUUUUAUUUCAUUCCAAAACUUGGAGUCUUAAGAUGCUUUAAGAACACUAAUUGUGGUGGACAUUUUAUUGGGUAAUUAUAUUUAUCAUGAUCUCCUCCACCUUGUCUCUGCUCCUCUGUCCCAUUUUGUAGCACUCCAAUCUUGUGACUUCCAAUUAGGUGACAAGAAGUGUCUAAAUUCUUAUCUGUGGUAUUUCAUCAUAAAUUUUGUAUAAGACUAUUAUAUGAACUGACAACAGCUAUGGGCCUGGAGACAAAAGGAUUAAGACACACUAAAAAGAUUCCAGUAAAGGAUUACAGGUUACCUUGGUGCAUUAAUCAGAAUCCACUUAAAGUUUUGACAAUGGGACUAGAGCCAACUGGAUGAAGAGUAAGUUCUCUGCUUCUGCCAAUAGUAGCAACUGUUGUGAAUAAAUGCAUCACAAGAAAAGCAGACUGA
This 1867-nucleotide long non-coding RNA is filed under the name Homo sapiens (human). RNAcentral describes it as "HSALNT0370324". The record is from RNAcentral. Lineage: Eukaryota; Metazoa; Chordata; Mammalia; Primates; Hominidae.